AGGUGUUCGUCCGACUUGACCUUCUCCACCGUUAGCUGGAGUCGUACGCGUUCUCAGGAUGGCGCAGUUCCACUUGCUGGACCCUCACUACGACGAGCACCACAGGGGCCGUCUCACCGCAGAGGGAGAGGUGUUGCCCGUUCUGCGGGUCCGGACCCACGACCGGUUUCUGGAGGAGAUGAGGUACGAUG
Molecule: long non-coding RNA, 191 nt
Organism: Zea mays
Lineage: Eukaryota; Viridiplantae; Streptophyta; Magnoliopsida; Poales; Poaceae
Exons: 3
Source: RefSeq, a predicted model, not a curated record